AUUGAACGCUGGCGGCAGGCCUAACACAUGCAAGUCGAACGAGUGGCGGACGGGUGAGUAAUGUCUGGGAAACUGCCCGAUGGAGGGGGAUAACUACUGGAAACGGUAGCUAAUACCGCAUACCAUCGGAUGUGCCCAGAUGGGAUUAGCUAGUAGGUGGGGUAAAGGCUCACCGAGGCGACGAUCCCUAGCUGGUCUGAGAGGAUGACCAGCCACACUGGAACUGAGACACGGCCCAGACUCCUACGGGAGGCAGCAGUGGGGAAUAUUGGACAAUGGGCGCAAGCCUGAUCCAGCCAUGCCGCGUGUAUGAUGAAGGCCUUCGGGUUGUAAAGGACUGUUGGCAGGGAGGCGGUAUCGGCAGAAGAAGCACCGGCUAACUACGUGCCAGCAGCCGCGGUAAUAC
This 406-nucleotide ribosomal RNA is filed under the name uncultured bacterium. RNAcentral describes it as "partial 16S ribosomal RNA". It matches the Rfam family "Bacterial small subunit ribosomal RNA", at positions 29 to 526 of the family's 1533-position model. The record is from RNAcentral.